RNAcentral lists this ribosomal RNA (254 nucleotides) under uncultured bacterium. RNAcentral's name for it is "partial 16S ribosomal RNA". It matches the Rfam family "Bacterial small subunit ribosomal RNA", at positions 524 to 776 of the family's 1533-position model. The record is from RNAcentral.
UACGUAGGGUGCAAGCGUUGUCCGGAAUUAUUGGGCGUAAAGAGCUCGUAGGCGGUUCGUCGCGUCGGCUGUGAAAUCCCGAGGCUCAACCUCGGGUCUGCGGUCGAUACGGGCAUCACUGGAGUUCGGCAGGGGAGACUGGAAUUCAAGGUGUAGCGGUGAAAUGCGCAGAUAUCUUGAGGAACACCGGUGGCGAAGGCGGGUCUCUGGGCCGAUACUGACGCUGAGGAGCGAAAGCGUGGGGAGCGAACAGG